Molecule: long non-coding RNA, 667 nt
Organism: Triticum aestivum (bread wheat)
Lineage: Eukaryota; Viridiplantae; Streptophyta; Magnoliopsida; Poales; Poaceae
Exons: 2
Source: RefSeq, a predicted model, not a curated record
UCAGGAGCUGCCAUUGCUAUCUGCAACUGCCACGCACAACAGUUAGAUCAAAAGCUAGUAGCUAGCUAGGGAAAUAUAUACAGCUCUCCUUCUCUGCCUCUGUCUUCGUCUCUGAACUCCAGCCUCUGCUAUGGAGUACAAGGAGCAGCUUCAGCUGGAGAAGAAGAGUUCCCAGGAAGAAGAAGCCAUGGCGAUGGCGGCCUCGUCUCCUUCCUUCUUCCUAUGGCACCCCUUGUCUCUACUGCAUCACGUCACCCGCAGCUGCGCAGGCUACCUGGGCCUCUCUCGGCUCUGCCACGCCCUCAAGGAUCUGAAGCCUCGCGCCGCUACUUCGCCUCCCACAGCUACCUCUCCCCAGCUGCAUGAUGAAGAGGCCGGAGUAGGAGGCGCUGGACACGCUGCAGAUGAUGAUUGCGCGACCGUCGAAGUGCGCUCGAGAGGGGUGCCUCAGAGGCCUCGUGCUCCAAGAGAAGGACGAGGAGGAACACACCAUUAGGCUUAGCUUAGCCUGCGAACUGUAGACUAUAACAUUGAUGAAACGGCCAUGGGAAAUUCGCUGAGUGUGUUCUUUCUGGAACUCUGAGUUCAGAGUCUUAGAGUGACUGAGUGAGUGCUUCCAUCUCUUCAUGUUCUGGUAGCAAUACAAGUUUAAAUUUCAAGCCGGACA